Molecule: ribosomal RNA, 253 nt
Filed under: uncultured bacterium
Lineage: Bacteria
Description: partial 16S ribosomal RNA
Rfam family: Bacterial small subunit ribosomal RNA
Source: RNAcentral
UACGGGGGGGGCAAGCGUUGUUCGGAGUUACUGGGCGUAAAGGGCUCGUAGGCGGCCAACUAAGUCAGACGUGAAAUCCCUCGGCUUAACCGGGGAACUGCGUCUGAUACUGGAUGGCUUGAAUCCGGGAGAGGGAUGCGGAAUUCCAGGUGUAGCGGUGAAAUGCGUAGAGAUCGGGAAGAACAUCGGUGGCGAAGGCGGCCUGCUGGGCUGUUGCUGACACUGAGGCGCGACAGCGUGGGGAGCAAACAGG